Solanum stenotomum is the source of this 846-nucleotide long non-coding RNA. RefSeq lists it as uncharacterized. The transcript has 5 exons. The record is from RefSeq and is a predicted model, not a curated record. NCBI's taxonomy places the organism in Eukaryota, Viridiplantae, Streptophyta, Magnoliopsida, Solanales, Solanaceae.
UCUUUCUGUUAUAUCUAAAUCUGUGUGGAGUACAAGCUUUUUUCAAUGGUCUUAACUGUCAUCUUGGUCAUUGUGCCUGUCUAUGUAAACAUAUAUUGACAUAUGUAUUUCAUAAAAUAUAUGUUACCUACUGAUCUUUUUGUCUCAACUAUAUUUGAAUUUGUAGGAUGGCAAGUUACUUUCUUUGGAAGGCAAGCAGGUCCUUGCAAAUGCUGGUGUUAUGUACCUGUGUAAUUUUGUCAAUGGAGAAAGGGUGAAGAUUCCUGAGACACUACAGGAACAACUUAAAAUUGUGGGCAACUCUACACCUACUCUGAUGGGCCUUAAAGAACUUGCGGACUCCUUACCGGAAGUAAACAACAACAGAUUUAUUACAGAUGGUAUUACUCAAGAUGGUAUUGAUAAAUUGAGAGAGCCGCCUAGACCUCUGUUGAGGACGGCCUCUACCAAGUGAUGAUUAAGGGAAAUAUGUGAAAUUCUCGUUUUGUUAUUUCUUUAUAUCUUUUGGUGUGAUAUAUGGAGGCACAACACGUGAAAGGAGGGUGGGUGGUGAUUUUUUUUUUGUAAUGAAUGGCAAUCUUUCGGAUUGCUUUUCUGGGUUUGUUAUGAUAUGAAUUUGUCCUAAGCUAUUUUUUCACUGUGUUGGUAAUUGUAAUCGCAGAAAUUUGUACAUGCUGAAAUAAGUACACACCAGUGAAUGAAAGAAUACUGCAAUGUUAUGUUCUUUCUAUCAUUUCUUUGGAACAUGAUUGUACAUUCCUUAGUUAUUUUUGUACCUUACGAAGUUUUUUGUUUUAGGUUACUUGUGGAAUUUCACUAGUGUGUUGUUAUGCAAGAAAACAUCUC